RNAcentral lists this long non-coding RNA (1046 nucleotides) under Callithrix jacchus (white-tufted-ear marmoset). RNAcentral describes it as "lncRNA (ENSCJAG00000068295.2)". Lineage: Eukaryota; Metazoa; Chordata; Mammalia; Primates; Cebidae. The record is from RNAcentral.
CUCUUCCUCUCUCUCUGCUGCGUCCUUCUGCCGUCCCUCUGCUUGUCUCCUCAUCUGCUGGUCUGCUCCUGGAGCCUGGGGUUUGGGGUUCAUAUGGGUACAGGUUAGGGAACAUGGCAGGCCAAAAGGCAACUUCUUGGGUGUGAAAACAAGAAUGCCUGUCCUCAUUUAGGGUCACAGGUCUUCAGGCUUGAGGGUGGGGCUCUUGCCAGAAAACCCCACUCUUCUACCUAGUAUUUCUCUGUCUCCUGUCUAUAUCACCUGUAAGAUGCUAGAUGGGUUUUUACAAAGCAUAGGAGCAUCAUUCAAAAGGAUUUUCAGGCAUGUUAAUGAAAUACCAAUAAAGCCAUUGAGACAGAAAUGCAGUUAAGUGAUUCAGGUCUGGAAACCGAAUUUCUGACAAAGGGAAGCUUGUUUAACAGGGUGAUGGCAUUUUUCACUUCCAAACUGUGGACAGCUGUACAGUCUGAAGUGCUCAGGAUAGACUCCGUCAAGCUGAAAGGCAGGAAUCAAGUUUCCCUAAGCCAGGUUGUUGGAGCCCUUUACCUCCUUGGCCAGCCUUUUUAAACUGAAAAAUCAGUUUUAAUUAAAAAAUCAGUUCCAGUGGUUCUCCCAUGCUCAAUAAAAGCAUCUGCACACUCUAACUUUCUUUCAAAUACCUUGCCACUUUUACUCCAGACAGAGCCAACAUAAAAGCUGAGAGAUAAAUCAAAUUUCUUGUCAGAAUAUCAGGUAGGCUGGGGACUGCUGGGGAAAAAAAGGAACCUGCUGUGGACUUCAAUGGCUCGAGAAUUGGCAAAAACAUGUGAAAUGAUUCCUGAAGAGCGCAGAAGACAAGAGAAUGAUCAGAAGAGCAGAAUAAUGGCAGGAACAGCACAGCAGACAGAAGAGAAGGAGCGUCUACACACCGAGAGGAAUUUGACUGAGGACAGUUGGAGAGGAGAUCAGCCACUGGACUGCCAAACUGCAGGGGAAGAUCAUCUUCUCACUCCAUCCCCCUUGCAACUCCCUACCCAUCCUACUAAAAGCCACCUCCACCUUUCAAU